CCUACGGGAGGCAGCAGUGAGGAAUAUUGGUCAAUGGGCGGGAGCCUGAACCAGCCAAGUCGCGUGAGGGAAGACGGUCCUAUGGAUUGUAAACCUCUUUAGGCGGGGAGCAAUGCCGGGCACGUGUGCCCGGAGGGAGAGUACCCGCAGAAUAAGCAUCGGCUAACUCCGUGCCAGCAGCCGCGGUAAUACGGAGGAUGCGAGCGUUAUCCGGAUUGAUUGGGUUUAAGGGGUGCGUAGGCGGAUUUUUAAGUCAGCGGUAAAAUGUCCGGGCUCAACCCGGGCCGGCCGUUGAAACUGGGGAUCUUGAGUGGGCGAGAAGUAUGCGGAAUGCGUGGGGUAGCGGUGAAAUGCAUAGAUAUCACGCAGAACUCCGAUUGCGAAGGCAGCAUACCGGCGCCCGACUGACGCUGAGGCACGAAAGCGUGGGGAUCGAACAGGAUUAGAUACCCGAGUAGUC
Molecule: ribosomal RNA, 460 nt
Filed under: uncultured bacterium
Lineage: Bacteria
Description: partial 16S ribosomal RNA
Rfam family: Bacterial small subunit ribosomal RNA
Source: RNAcentral